CUGAACACUAGUGCUGUUUUCUUUCCAUGUAAGUCACCUGCAAAAGUCCAGAGGGUCUGUGAAAAUGGAGUAGCAAUAACCAUUGUGACAUGGGGUUGGAGGGAGGUGGUGAUGGGAUGAAAAAGCUUCACACUGUACUUCUUGACCAAGAAUCCACAAAAGUUACUGAUGUGCUUGUUUUUAAUCAAGCUCUAAAUUUGACAUGAAGGCACGUCAAGCUGAAAUCUGAUGGAUAAAAACAUCAAGGAAGCAAGAAUGGCAAAGCCAGUCAUCAUAACUUCAUCAUGAACCAGUGAAGGCAUCAAAAAUGGAUUUUUCUGGCAGUUACUAGAAUAAUAGGUCAUGGGUAACCACAUGUGAAAUUGGAAAGAAACUGAGAAAGGAGAAUCAAUUUCAGCUCCAGAAAGUUAAGCUGCCCCUUCAAGAUUGGGCUUCACCCUAGGGGAGAGCACAGAGAUUAUAUAGGAGAAAAAACAUUCACACCAAUUCCUCCCGGGGAGAGGAGGUAAUGAAUGAGAGAGGAAUUCAAAAAGUUUUGGAAACUGCUCCGUAUUAAGGGAGCAAUAAUAAAAUAACUACCAGAACAUUCCAAUAAAUGAUUUCUAAAGGGGAUGUAAAAAAAUGGGCUCUUUCCCUCAAACAUUUCUCCUUAGACUUCAAGGAAAAGAAUCUCCUCUCCUAUACCCCCUCCCCCCCAUACAUAUGUGAAUAUAUAUUUUAAGAUCUCAUACUUUUUGAUUGAUAUUUCAAGGAAAAAACCUGAAGUACUUCUUCCUAGCCACUGGAAGCUUAAAAAUAUAUGCAAUUUAAUUUAAUCUUUUCUUAGACUGCACAUAUCCUUUUCUCCUAAAUUUGUCUUUGAGUGGGGGGGGGGAGGGACAGA
This is a long non-coding RNA of Sarcophilus harrisii (Tasmanian devil), 883 nucleotides long. RefSeq lists it as uncharacterized. The record is from RefSeq and is a predicted model, not a curated record. The transcript is spliced from 3 exons. NCBI's taxonomy places the organism in Eukaryota, Metazoa, Chordata, Mammalia, Dasyuromorphia, Dasyuridae.